Megalobrama amblycephala (Wuchang bream) is the source of this 2337-nucleotide long non-coding RNA. RefSeq lists it as uncharacterized. The record is from RefSeq and is a predicted model, not a curated record. The transcript has 6 exons. NCBI's taxonomy places the organism in Eukaryota, Metazoa, Chordata, Actinopteri, Cypriniformes, Xenocyprididae.
UUUUUAAAAUUGGGUAUGACUCAUAAAAUUGUUAAUAAUGUAGUUCCAAGUUAUUUAGAAAAUUAUUUUUACAUGGUGAGACAACAGCAUUCCUAUGGUACUAGGGGUAGAAAUUUUAAUAUUUGUCCAUACAAAUUGAAAAGUUUGGUAGGGAAGAAUACUUUUCUAUAUACACUCAAAAAAAUGAUUCUUGCCACUAUUUGAAAUUAAGCAAAAAAAUCUAAUAAAACAUAUUUAAAAACUAAUAAAAAUACCUAUUAUUACUCCAAAUUACUUUUAUACAAUAUGAAUGAAAUGGAUACAAGACCAACCUGAUCAAAUUACAUAAACUAUACUUAAUUUGUUGCCAUAAGGCGCAAAUGCAAGUGUUGCGCAUGCUCACUGAAGUCUGAGUUCAAAAAACAACAUCUGAAGGCGCAAUGGCGAUCUACUGUCUGACUCAGCGAAAAGGAGGAUUUGGAUGAAUAGAUGUGGAUGUUUUACAAGAAACCUCAUCAGUGGGACAAUAACUCAAUUAUGAUAUGUGAGUUUUGUGGAAACGUAAAGUGUGUGGAAGAAGCAUCACAGAAGUAUCCAAUAUGUUUAAGUAACUGAAACAUUCUAAGAUUAAACUUGGACAUUUUGAGGAGAGAUUCAGUCAACCUGUUCACAGUAAAUUAAAUAAAAGCGGAAUUAAUGCGGAUAACGACUGUGCCACUUCUGUCAACGUUCAUAGCAGCUGGACAGAUACACUGUUAAUCAAAUUAAAGUUUUCAGCAGCAAAGGAGCUUCUGGACAAAAGAUAUCACACACAUUGCAGUUGCAGACAAGUGCGAAGAUAUACACUUCAAAUGAGACUGUGUUAUAAAGAGUCUGUGUGUGUAUCUCAAUGGGGACAUUACAACACUUCCAGUUCUCCAGAAUUCUUCCAGAAUUCCAGGACUGCAAUCCUGAAGGAACUGAUGGAGGAAUUUCUGAGACUACUCUGGGCCAUUUUGUGACCCUUAAAGAAAGCGCUGAGGAUGAGCCAGUGGAUGUUGGUGUAGCAACAGAGGGUUUAAAACUACUACAACACUUAGGAGUUUUUCCUUUGGAUGCUGUUUGCUGUUUGGAUUGAUCUACGCAAUCAAGCUAUGCUCCGAGUCUCAAAUUCACUUUUGAAUUCUUCCAGAAGGUACUGAUGAAUUUAGAUUUUAGGACAUCACAUAGAUGUUUCGAUCCACUGGAAGGACUUAGAAACUUUGAAACCUAAGAAACAUUGAAUUGAAGACUAUGAUCGAUGACACUAUGAACCAAUGACACUAACUCAAAUCAAGAGACUACAUCUAAUGCACCUUAUGGCUUCCUCUAACUCUGAUAUUUUUAAAGGGUUAAUUCACCUAAAAAUGAAAUUUCUGUCAUUAAUUACUCACCCUCAUGUCGUUCCACACCCGUAAGACCUUUGUUCAUCUUUGAAACACAAAGUAGGUUAUUUUUGAUGAAAUCCGUGAGCUAUCUGACCUCAGAUAGACUGCAACACAACUACCACUUUCAAGACCCAGAAAGGUAGUAAAGGCAUUGUUAAAAUAGUCAAUGUGACUGCAGUGGUUCAACCUUAAUGUUAUGAAGUGACAAGAAUACUAUUUGAGUGCAAAAAAAAAAAAACGACUCUCUUUCCUUCUAUGUCAGUCUCCUACGCAGUUGACGUUGUACACACAUAAUAUCUUAAUUUGUGUUCUGAAGAUUAAUCAAGGUCUUAGGGGUUUGGAGCAAAAUUAGGGUGAGUAAUUAAUGAAAGAAAUUAAAUUUUUGGGUGAACUAACCCUUUAACAGAGAUGUUAGCCCUUGUGCUAUUCCUUGUCCAGGAAGUUAACUUGUGAGUAGGACACUUGGGCUGCUGAAUGUCUAAAUGCUGAAAUGUGACAGAUAACAGAAAACCUGUUAUAUGUAAAGUCAAAUAUAAUUCCUCAGAUUGCUUUUCUUUUUUCCCCAAGUGUCCUGAUUGUUUUUUGUUUUUUUUUACACAUUUACAAGGAAUGUAACCAUUUACUGUUAUGUUUCAAGUUUCAGACAAGCAAAAGCACAAACUGACUACCAUACUAUGCAGAGAGAUCGCAAUGUUACCUUAAAUAUAUGAAAAUAAUGCUUGAUGUUGAAAUUUGGUUCCUUGUUGAUCUAUGAACUUUUUGGCACUCAGACUUAAAACUAAAAAGUCAAACAAGGAGCCAUAACCAUUGUGUUAGUUUCGGAGAAAGCACAAAACUGCUGUAAACUGUUGUCUUAACUUGUGAAAUACUGCAUUAUGUUCUAUUUUUUGUCAGAUUGGAUGUUUCUUAUUAUUCCUGCAGCAAUUGAGACAAUAAAUUUUUAUGAAUGUAA